CAGCAGCCGCGGUAAUACGAAGGGGGCUAGCGUUGUUCGGAUUUACUGGGCGUAAAGCGCACGUAGGCGGACUUUUAAGUCAGGGGUGAAAUCCCGGGGCUCAACCCCGGAACUGCCUUUGAUACUGGGAGUCUUGAGUUCGAGAGAGGUGAGUGGAAUUGCGAGUGUAGAGGUGAAAUUCGUAGAUAUUCGCAGGAACACCAGUGGCGAAGGCGGCUCACUGGCUCGAUACUGACGCUGAGGUGCGAAAGCGUGGGAAGCAAACAGGAUUAGAGACCCCCGUAGUCCCUGUCUCUUAACA
Molecule: ribosomal RNA, 301 nt
Filed under: uncultured bacterium
Lineage: Bacteria
Description: partial 16S ribosomal RNA
Rfam family: Bacterial small subunit ribosomal RNA
Source: RNAcentral